GCUGACCUGUCACCUCUCCACCCUCAAGCCACAGGGAUUGGUAUGUGCCCCUCACUGGGUCAAUCAGUGUCUUCCUUGGUUACUUUUUGCCACAGUAGGUGGAAAAGAUGGUUGUUGUCCACAGGAAUUGAUCGGGGGAUGUUGAUAUGAGGCUGCCAGCUGCCAUUUUACCACCUGGAGGGAGCCUGACAGAAAACUCAGAGAACCCCUGGCCCCACUGAUGGAGCCUCCCAAAGAAUCAGGUGCAUCCUUGAACUUCCCACUUGAGGUAACAAGUAAAUCCUCAGGUUAUUAUGAUGUGAGAUUCCAUCAUUCUAGAAAUCAGUCAUAUACAAAUACAACUGGCUGGUGUGUAAUGAUAAUAGUCAACACUGGUGUUUUCUGGUGGCUCCCGGAUUAAGGAUCCAGCAUUCCCACUUCUGUGGCACAGGUGGGUUUGAUCCCUGGCCCUGGAAUUUUUGCAUGCCGUGGGCAUAGUCAAAAGGAAAGAAAAAUAGCACUUAGUGAAAUGAAUGCUAUAAUGUGAGGCAUGCUUCUAAGAAAUUUCAUGCAUGAAUCAUUUAAAUCUCACAACAGUCCUAUGACGUAUACACCAUUAUCAUUUCUAUUUUACAGAUGAAGAAACUAAAGCUUAGGGAGGUCGCAUGACUUUCCCUUAGAUAACAGCGAUAGGAAGAAAUAGGGCUGCAGAACAGGGAUUUGAACCUAGAGAGAAAGUGAGAGCUGUUUAUACACAUGCAUACACUUUAUCUUUAUAUAUANUUUACCUCUUUGUAAUGUGAAAAAAAAUUUCAAUAAAAAUGUUAGAAAAUUAAUGUUGGUUAUGUGCAUGGAAAUGAGUAUCCUAAAUUUUAUCCCAUUGUCAUGGACAAUGAUAGACCUUACUGCUAGAGCUUAAAAAGCAACUAUAGAUUUAUGAGUGUUUUGAAAGGAUAUAAGUAGAAAAUUGAGUAUUGCUAUUGAAGUAUCCUACUAUAUGACAUUGAAUCUCCGAAAGAGCAGCUAGUUAGCUGGUCAAAGCUUUUUCAGAGGUAAACAAAACAAAAACCUAGAAGCAGCUAGAUAGAGGCACCAGAGUGCAUUGUUUAUGAAUAUCAUUUAGGGAAACAUUGCAGUGGGAAGAAUCUCUAAACAGAUACUGAGAAUGAAAAUAUUUUGUGAGCCAGAACAUAUAAUCAAGCCAAGUACUGGGACAUCGCAAAGUUAGAAUUUAUCAUAAAACUAGAAAACAGAAAAACACUGUAUUAGGGAAGUUGCAGAAGAAUUCCGUAGAUAUUUCAGAAAAAAAAUAUCUCAAAGCAGCAUCCAGUUCCUGGGUACUUUGUGUAGAUGAACCUAAAUCUAUUUUGCAAGGAUCCCAGGCUCUAAAUUAUAAUUAGUGAAUCCCAUGCCAAGAUGUAUGUGAAAUUGAACGGGUUAACUCUCUCACCAUGACCAAUGAUACAGACACCCUAAAAAAUAAAUGUUCUAAUUUUCAAAAGUGUCAAGGUCUUAUCACUUCCUAUUGUAUCAUGCAAAAAAUGCAAAAACUGCAGGCAAACGCUUUUGAAAUACCUGCUUUUAUGCUUUCAGGAAAGUAAUGUCUUAGAAUCAUGAUUGCGUCUUAGGACUGGGGUUGGCCAAUGGGAUAAAUCCAGCCCUCCAUCUGUUCCUGAAGGGCUGGUACACUAAGGAUAUUUUUUAAUAUAUUUAAAUGCUUG
Molecule: unclassified non-coding RNA, 1700 nt
Filed under: Sus scrofa (pig)
Lineage: Eukaryota; Metazoa; Chordata; Mammalia; Artiodactyla; Suidae
Source: RNAcentral